GGGAAGGUGGCUCAGUGGUACAGUGCUUGCCUUGCAUGCAUGAGGCCCUAGGUUCAAUUCCUCAGCACCCCA
This 72-nucleotide transfer RNA is filed under the name Dipodomys ordii (Ord's kangaroo rat). It matches the Rfam family "tRNA". From Rfam's summary of the family: Transfer RNA (tRNA) molecules are approximately 80 nucleotides in length. Their secondary structure includes four short double-helical elements and three loops (D, anti-codon, and T loops). Lineage: Eukaryota; Metazoa; Chordata; Mammalia; Rodentia; Heteromyidae. The record is from Rfam by way of RNAcentral.